AUUGAACGCUGGCGGCAUGCCUUACACAUGCAAGUCGAACGGCAGCACGGGUGCUUGCACCUGGUGGCGAGUGGCGAACGGGUGAGUAAUACAUCGGAACAUGUCCUGUAGUGGGGGAUAGCCCGGCGAAAGCCGGAUUAAUACCGCAUACGAUCUACGGAUGAAAGCGGGGGACCUUCGGGCCUCGCGCUAUAGGGUUGGCCGAUGGCUGAUUAGCUAGUUGGUGGGGUAAAGGCCUACCAAGGCGACGAUCAGUAGCUGGUCUGAGAGGACGACCAGCCACACUGGGACUGAGACACGGCCCAGACUCCUACGGGAGGCAGCAGUGGGGAAUUUUGGACAAAGGGCGAAAGCCUGAUCCAGCAAUGCCGCGUGUGUGAAGAAGGCCCUCGGGUUGUAAAGCACUUUUGUCCGGAAAGAAAUCCUUGGCCCUAAUACAGUCGGGGGAUGACGGUACCGGAAGAAUAAGCACCGGCUAACUACGUG
RNAcentral lists this ribosomal RNA (486 nucleotides) under uncultured bacterium. Its description in RNAcentral is "partial 16S ribosomal RNA". It matches the Rfam family "Bacterial small subunit ribosomal RNA", at positions 30 to 507 of the family's 1533-position model. The record is from RNAcentral.